RNAcentral lists this ribosomal RNA (953 nucleotides) under uncultured organism. RNAcentral describes it as "bacterial SSU rRNA". It matches the Rfam family "Bacterial small subunit ribosomal RNA", at positions 21 to 950 of the family's 1533-position model. The record is from RNAcentral.
GGCUCAGAACGAACGCUGGCGGCGUGCUUACACAUGCAAGUCGAACGGGAAACGUCCUUCGGGAACCGAGUACAGUGGCGCACGGGUGAGUAACACGUAGGUGACCUACCUAUCGCUGGGGAACAACCCCGGGAAACCGGAGCUAAUUCCGCAUACGCUUUCCAACUCGCGGGUUGGAAAGGAAAGAUGGCCUCUUCAUGAAAGCUAUCGGCGAAUGAUGGGCCUGCGCGUCAUUAGCUUGUUGGUGAGGUAACGGCUCACCAAGGCUGCGAUGACUAGCUGGUCUGAGAGGAUGAUCAGCCACACUGGCACUGGAACACGGGCCAGACUCCUACGGGAGGCAGCAGUGGGGAAUAUUGCGCAAUGGGCGAAAGCCUGACGCAGCAACGCCGCGUGAGUGACGAAGGCCUUCGGGUCGUAAAGCUCUGUCGAGAGGGACGAAACACCGGUGGGAACAAUACCUCGCCGGUUUGACGGUACCUCCAAAGGAAGCACCGGCUAACUCCGUGCCAGCAGCCGCGGUAAUACGGAGGGUGCAAGCGUUGUUCGGAAUUACUGGGCGUAAAGGGCGUGUAGGCGGAUCAAGAAGUCGGGUGUGAAAGCCCUGGGCUCAACCCAGGAAGUGCGCCCGAAACCAUUGGUCUUGAGUUCCAGAGGGGAGCGGGGAAUUCCCAGUGUAGAGGUGAAAUUCGUAGAUCUUGGGAAGAACACCGGUGCCGAAGGGGCCGCUCUGGAUGGAUACUGACGCUGAGGCGCGAAAGCGUGGGGAGCAAACAGGAUUAGAUACCCUGGUAGUCCACGCUGUAAACGAUGUGCACUAGGUGUCGGGGGUAUUGACCCCCCCGGUGCCGCCGCUAACGCAUUAAGUGCACCGGCUGGGAAGUACGGCCGCAAGGCUGAAACUCAAAGGAAUUGACGGGGGCCCGCACAAGCGGUGGAGUAUGUGGUUCAAU